GUCUUUUUGAUCAUAAUUUAAAGUUUAAUCUGCCCACUGAUAAAAAUUAAAGGGCUGCAGUAUUUUGACUGUACAAAGGUAGCAUAAUCAAUAGUCUCUUAAUUGGUGACUUGUAUGAAAGAUUUGAUGAAAUAUAAACUGUCUCAAUUUAAUUUAUAAAAUUUAAUUUUUUAGUUAAAAAGCUAAAAUUUGUUUAAAAGACGAGAAGACCCUAUAGAGUUUUAUAUUUUAAUAAUUUAUUAUUUUAUAUUAUUUUAAAAAUUUUAAGUUAUAAAUUAUUUUAUUGGGGUGAUAGAAAAAUUGAAUUAACUUUUUUUAAAAUUAAAACAUUUAUUUUUGAAAAUAUGAUCCGUAAAUUACGAUUAAAAGAAUAAAUUACCUUAGGGAUAACAGCGUAAUUUUUUUUUUUAGUUCAAAUAAGAAAAAGAGUUUGCGACCUCGAUGUUGGAUUAAGAUAAAAUUUAAAUGCAAAA
RNAcentral lists this ribosomal RNA (473 nucleotides) under Sericinus montela. Its description in RNAcentral is "partial 16S ribosomal RNA". The record is from RNAcentral. Lineage: Eukaryota; Metazoa; Arthropoda; Insecta; Lepidoptera; Papilionidae.